AUUGAACGCUGGCGGCAGGCUUAACACAUGCAAGUCGAGCGGGGUGAUGGUGCUUGCACUAUCACUUAGCGGCGGACGGGUGAGUAAUGCUUAGGAAUCUGCCUAUUAGUGGGGGACAACAUCUCGAAAGGGAUGCUAAUACCGCAUACGUCCUACGGGAGAAAGCAGGGGAUCACUUGUGACCUUGCGCUAAUAGAUGAGCCUAAGUCGGAUUAGCUAGUUGGUGGGGUAAAGGCCUACCAAGGCGAAGAUCUGUAGCGGGUCUGGGAGGAUGAGCCGCGAAACUGGGACUGAGACAAGGGCCAGACUGCUACGGGAGGUAGCGGUGGGGGAUAUUGGACAAUGGGGGGAACCCUGAUCCAGCCAUGCCGCGUGUGUGAAGAAGGGCUUAUGGUUGUAAAGCACUUUAAGCGAGGAGGAGGCUCUUUUGGUUAAUACCCAAGAUGAGUGGACGUUACUCGCAGAAUAAGCACCGGCUAACUCUGUGCCAGCCGCCGCGGUAA
Molecule: ribosomal RNA, 503 nt
Filed under: uncultured bacterium
Lineage: Bacteria
Description: partial 16S ribosomal RNA
Rfam family: Bacterial small subunit ribosomal RNA
Source: RNAcentral